UGGGGAAUUUUGGACAAUGGGCGAAAGCCUGAUCCAGCAAUGCCGCGUGUGUGAAGAAGGCCUUCGGGUUGUAAAGCACUUUUGUCCGGAAAGAAAUCCUUGGCUCUAAUACAGUCGGGGGAUGACGGUACCGGAAGAAUAAGCACCGGCUAACUACGUGCCAGCAGCCGCGGUAAUACGUAGGGUGCAAGCGUUAAUCGGAAUUACUGGGCGUAAAGCGUGCGCAGGCGGUUUGCUAAGACCGAUGUGAAAUCCCCGGGCUCAACCUGGGAACUGCAUUGGUGACUGGCAGGCUAGAGUAUGGCAGAGGGGGGAUAGAAUUCCACGUGUAGCAGUGAAAUGCGUAGAGAUGUGGAGGAAUACCGAUGGCGAAGGCAGCCCCCUGGGCCAAUACUGACGCUCAUGCACGAAAGCGUGGGGAGCAAACAGGAUUAGAUACCCUGGUAGUCCACGCCCUAAACGAUGUCAACUAGUUGUUGGGGAUUCAUUUCCUUAGUAACGUAGCUAACGCGUGAAGUUGACCGCCUGGGGAGUACGGUCGCAAGAUUAAAACUCAAAGGAAUUGACGGGGUCAUAGCUGUUUCCU
This 586-nucleotide ribosomal RNA is filed under the name uncultured bacterium. RNAcentral's name for it is "partial 16S ribosomal RNA". It matches the Rfam family "Bacterial small subunit ribosomal RNA", at positions 355 to 1375 of the family's 1533-position model. The record is from RNAcentral.